Long non-coding RNA from Armigeres subalbatus, 468 nucleotides. RefSeq lists it as uncharacterized. NCBI's taxonomy places the organism in Eukaryota, Metazoa, Arthropoda, Insecta, Diptera, Culicidae. The record is from RefSeq and is a predicted model, not a curated record. The transcript has 3 exons.
GAAAGAUGCCAUGGAGCCGCAAAAUGCUUCGUUCAUAACUACGAGGAACUGGCAUAGUAAAUAAAAUUGUACAGAUCUAAACUACCAAGAUCGUGCAUAUACUUGUCGGAUUGUGGAUGAGUAUGCUUGUGUGGUACCGUCAAAGAUCACCCAGGAGCAGGAAGCAGGAAAAAUAAAACCGCGCUGAACAAAACUGACGGGAUCAUGCUUCCUCCUACUAUUUGAUGGAGUCCCCUACAAGAGCAAUCAAGCGGAGUGGGAUUAACGGAAGUGAUUGCGAAGCAAUGGUCACACGCGAGAAGUCGAACAAUACACGGCCUGAUCAACAUCUUAUGGGUGCCAUCAAAGAAAGCAAAACGUAUGUAACUAAAAAUUCAUCCAUCUUAAAAUCUUAAAAUCUAAAAAUCUUAAAAUCUUAAAAUCUUAAAAUCUUAAAAUCUUAAAAUCUUAAAAUCUGAAAAUCUGAAA